This 241-nucleotide long non-coding RNA is filed under the name Anser brachyrhynchus (Pink-footed goose). RNAcentral's name for it is "lncRNA (ENSABRG00000021826.1)". The record is from RNAcentral. Lineage: Eukaryota; Metazoa; Chordata; Aves; Anseriformes; Anatidae.
UGAAUCUCGGAAAGAUUUUUUGCAUGCCUCAGGAACAGCCACUGGCAUAUGUUUAAGGUUGACUUCAACCUGGACUGUGAUUACACGAACGCUUGUGCUGGCAUAAGGGAGUAGGCGGCACAGGAGCAAAAUGAAGAGACAGAGUGCUCUAUGCCAACAUGACCUAAGAACCAAGGCAGUGUUGACACGAAAAAGAAAAGAAAUCUGGGUCAAACACAACUACUUGUCAGCAAGUACCUGA